AUGGCUCAGGAUGAACGCUAGCGGCAGGCUUAACACAUGCAAGUCGAGGGGCAUCGGGAGUAGCAAUACUUGCCGGCGACCGGCGCAAGGGUGCGUAACGCGUGAGCAACAUGCCCGUAUCAGGGGGAUAAUCCAUGGAAACGUGGUCUAAUACCCCAUAGUAAUUAUGUAAGGCAUCUUAUAUAAUUUAAAGCUUUGGUGGAUACGGAUUGGCUCGCGUGACAUUAGCUGGAUGGUAAGGUAACGGCUUACCAUGGCUACGAUGUCUAGGGGUUCUGAGAGGAAGGUCCCCCCACACUGGAACUGAGACACGGUCCAGACUCCUACGGGAGGCAGCAGUGAGGAAUAUUGGACAAUGGAUGGAAAUCUGAUCCAGCCAUGCCGCGUGCAGGAAAGACGGCCCUAUGGGUUGUAAACUGCUUUUGUAUGGGAGCAAUAAGGGCUACGUGUAGUCCGAUGAGAGUACCAUACGAAUAAGCACCGGCUAACUCCGUGCCAGCCGCAGC
RNAcentral lists this ribosomal RNA (506 nucleotides) under uncultured bacterium. RNAcentral describes it as "bacterial SSU rRNA". It matches the Rfam family "Bacterial small subunit ribosomal RNA", at positions 19 to 518 of the family's 1533-position model. The record is from RNAcentral.